CUCACAUGGGCCUUCACUCAUGCACCUCCACCUGUUGGCCUUCAAGCUGCAUUUAAGCAGCUGGGGAGAAAGCUCUUGCUGGCAGGCUCUAUUUGCAGGCAGUGCUUGAGCUGAUACUAGAAAGCCACUAUUGGGUCUCUGCAGAGCCUUCUCUUCCCCAGGCUGAACAGCCCCAACUCUGUCAGCCUGUCCUUGCAGGAGAAGUGCUCCAUCCCUUGGAUUGCUUUUGUGGUCCUCCUCUGGACGUUCCAUGUCUCUCCUGUGCUGAGGACUCGACAUCUGGACACAGUACUCCAGGUGAGAGAGGAAGCUGCCUUUGAGUGGAUGUAGUGGCUCACUUAGUGCUGAUUUCUAGUUGCUUGUUAGAAUACGGACGUUUUGCUAGGCAGGAAAUGUUUGUGUCAACACUGUAAAUCUCCAGCUGCUGCCUGGUAGCUCAGCACUUAUGCAAGAUACUUGUGCUGAAUCCUCCAAACUAACUUCAGAGUCCUGUAUUUCCUAGUGUCGGCUUCCAGAUUUCAUCCUACAGUCCUUCUCCCUAGUAGAAGUAGAAUUUGUAAUUCCUAUUAUAAGGCAAGUUUCUUUAUUAAAAGCUCAGCUGAUAAGAUAUGACUUCAAAAUUAAAUACAUGUAGGCAUUUUGUUUUCAAAUUUAUUUGUGAUGCUGGCUUUUAGCGAAUAUAUAUUCAUGGCAACAUUUGAUGUCAGGGUGGAAAAGUACUACCCAUGGUAAUUAUUGUGAGAACUCAGAGCUGCAGUUCAAUGUGAGGAUCAAAAGUAAUUUAGGCAUCAGAAGGUGAAAAGGAGUUCAACUGCAGGACAAAGUCCACCUGUACAUGGAGCAAGUCAUAAGACUCAGUGCCUUUUGUCUGGUGAGAAAUUAUAAAAUAGCACUUGCAUGCUAAGCUGAUCCAUUGGCAGGUGGGCAGCAACAUGCAGCCUGUGCUAUGAGUGUGAGGGUCUUGUACAAGCUACUAGUACCUAGGCCCAGAUAAGGGUAGUAAGGGGGAAAGGAAAGUGAAUGGUGACAAGUAUUAAAGGACAUCAAUUUCACUUUGACUGGCAUCCCCAUGCUGCUUAGAAGAUACUGAGCUUAGCAGAAAGGCAGCGAAAUAGACUGGCAAGAAGUUAUUAGAGGUGCUAUUUGAGAAUUCCUGUAGGUAAACUGUGCUUGGGGUCCUUAAAAUAAUAGCUGAGAUUAUGUAACUGUAUUUAGUUUCUUACUAAUCUGUAGCAACAUUGCUGCCUAGUGAUAGCAUUUCUAUAGAAUGGAAGUGCAACUGUAAUUUCCUUGAACAGCUUUCCUUUAGUUGUGUCUAAUGAUACUUAAUUUUUUUCCAACUGAAAUUUCUGUUAUUGCUUACAGCAGCUCACCUCAGAGGGGAGUGAGCAUUACUGUAAACAGUGCUCCAGGCAGCAACUAACAUUUAAAGCAAUCCAGCUCAAACUAGGGCUCUGUGACCUCCUAUGUAAAACACCAGCAGCUGUCAGCACCCUGUUUACUCCAGCACUUCUGCUGCUGCUUCUGACUGAACUACUGCUUUGGUUUGUACUUAAAAUAAUCAGAACAGGCAUUAGGGAAUAACUGUUACAGCAUAAGCCCAGAGCUAUUACAAGCCUAGAUUCUCACCAAGAGUCAUUUUAGAAUGUACAAGUGUAGUAAAUUUCCACUUGUAUGCAAGCUUGUGGUAUGGGUAGGUAGCUCAAGCAAAAGCUUCCUGAUGUAGACAUGCUCUGCAGCAUUCUUGUUGCUUGGAAUCAACUCACUUGGGAAAAUUUCCUUAAAUAAUGAUGAAUACUGACAACCUACUACUGAGAAGAACAGAAGCUGAAGUAACAAGGAACUUCUACAUAUUUAUUGACUGUACAUUUGUGUGUCCUUACUGCAAUCUGCAUAUGAUUGUCUGGUUUUGAAGCAGGCCGUUGAUAUGAGGCUCAGAUUGUGGAAGAAUAAGUGAAAUAAUGUGAUACUGAACCAGUAGACCUGAUGAGGGUGUCAGAAGUGACAGGCAGUGUUUGUAAAUGAGGUGUCCCAGAAAUUGGUUAUUACAGGGGAAGCAAAGUCUCUGUUCUGAACCCUGUGUUUGGGGGUAGAAUUGAGGAACUGCCUUAUUGGCAGUUGCUGUGUCUGUAUUAACCUUAUCUGUUAAAACCUGUGAAGGAUAAUACACAAAACAGCUUUUUCUCAGUUUUUAUUCUGUUUUAAAUGGGCUUUUUAGGAUAAUAUAAAUAAUUGUGAUAUCUACCAAUUUAUUCAUGUUCUUUCUUGGGCACUUGGGACAACUUGCUGUCUGAUGGGUGUGGUAUAAUACAUCAGUUAUGUGUGAGAUGCUGAUAAGCACUGGACAGUGGAGACCUGUGCCUGAAUGCUGUCUUCCAGAUGUUUCUUCAGUGGAAGGACUUGAAGCUUUUGUGUAAAAUAUGUGGACAAAAUAGAACAAACAUUAGUGUGUCUAGUACACCUGGGCAAUGCCAAGGGAUGCUGGAAUUUUUCCUUUCUUGUAGGUGUAAAAAGGUUGGGGGAAAAAAAGUAACUUAGUUUGGAUCAAGUUGAAUGAUGUAGUGGUGAGGGAAUGAAUACUUGCUGGAAAACUGUGCAGCCAAAGGUAGGACCUGCAGAUAUGGAAGAGUACUGGGUGCUAAUUUGUCUGAGGGUCUUAAUCAGUUGUAAGGCAAGUAAGAAAAAUUAGGUAAGCUUGUCUGAAAAUGAAGGGAGUGCAUGGGACGUGUGUCUGUAGGUGAUCAGAGCCUAGGAGAGUCAGUGAGGGAAGAAACACAGAAACAAGGAAAGAGGGUGUUUUUGUUGGUGUUCACCAUGGCAUGGCCUCCCAUACAGUGGGACUGUAGCACUUGCAAUUUCUCCUUGACAAAACUGACUAUCCUCUGCUCCACUCUUGGUUCUUCAGCCGUGCGCUUGGGCCUGUGUUGCCACAUCCUCUUUCUCCUGCUUAGAGAAACGGCUUGUGUCAGGCAUACUGCAGCCACUCCAUGACCACCAGUUUUUUUGGUAACUCUUGGACUAAUCCAGCAUUAAUAUCACUUUAGCAUGCUGAAUGCUUUUCCUUAGAAAUAAUUCUCACACUUUUUCUUGAAUUGUUCGCUUGCUUACAUGCAUUCAUCUCCUCUUGAGAGAAGGUGGCAUACCAUCUAUGUUCUUCAGUUUUUCUAUGAAGUAUUUAGAAAUUCUAGCAGCAGUGAUGCAAGGAAUGUACUUAGACCUGGAAGAGUUGUUGUUCCACUGUGGCUCAGACAAACCUCACUCUCUGAGACUUGACAAGUAAUUCCAAAACACAAGUAGUAUAUCAGUCAGAUUUCCAACUGGAAAAUGCUUGACUUCAGAAUUUAAGCCAUUUGUUUCAAUAAACAUGGGCUCAUUUGCAACCAAAGCCUUAAGACUUCAAGUGUAGAUCAGGCUGAGUCCAACAGUGGGACUUUGCUCUAUACUUGGUGAGAAAGCCAUUUGCUCCUUCAGAAGGUUUUACUGUCCCCCAGACACAGUUUUCUUUAAUGUUACUUGCAAUUCUUGUAGCAAAACAGAUGGUCUGUAUUGCUUUUCUGUGUUUCUUGGCUUGGAAAUGUUCACUGUAAACAACUUAAGGGAUUCUUCCUUAUUGCUAAAGCAGGUUGUACUUCAGCAGUAAGUUCAGUUUCUGGACUCAAAUAUAAAUCUAUGUAUAUUCUCUGCACCAAGCAAAACAAAUUUGUAAUAGGCACUUAAACCCCAUGAUUAGCCUUCAAAAUCUCUUGCAAAACAUGCUGCCUGAGUUAGUCAUCCAGCGAAGCAACAGUAAUUUGAGAGUGGAGAAGCUUAUUUAAAUACUCUGAAAAUAUCAGAGGGCGUGACACUGACAAUGAGCUGGGAUUGCUUGUCCCACCCUGUCUCCUUCAAGGCUCAGUGUCCCAGUCAAGUGCUGUGCUCAGCGAGCUUCCAGAGAGCCAUAGCUGUUAUGUUUAAGAGACACACUCCAGAGGGAUCUUCAGAGGGGAUACAGGUGGCUCAGAAAUCACCUCCUUUUCACUGAUGGCAUAUGCUACCAGAGAACAGUCUGUUCUGGAGUAAAUUCUGUAGAAGUCUGGGCAUCCCUGCGGAGAGAAGGAGAGGCUCAGCCCAUUGACUAGUCCCAGAAAUCAGCUUUGUCCUCAUUUGUCUGCAAAGGACAGUUUCUGAAGCUGGGUUCCGGCUCCUGACUGGAGGUGCAAACCCGUAAAUUCCUCACAAGGCUUCUGGCAAGGAUGGUGUGGCAAGGAUGGCACAUGGACAAGGCGGCAUGGUCCAUGAGGACACUUACAUAAUUUGCUGGUCUUAUAACUAAAAUGUGGUGUGUUCCGUUGUUUCUCCCAGAUGCUUUCCUAAAGGAAGAGUUGUUUGGAGAGAUUGUCUCUUGUGCCUUCUUUUUUUUUACAGUGAUGAAUAUUGUUCUGUAGCAGCAGCUAUGCAGAAUACAUGCUUAUUCUACCCUUUAAAAUAAUUUAUAGAUCAAUACAGACUGUUAAAAACAGAUUGGAAAGCAAUCAUGUAUAACAGACUGACUUUAAACCAAUGGCCACAAUGAAAAAGCUUUGUUAUUUAAGUCUUAUUUUCCUGACACUUUAUGGAAUGGCAUCAGUAAGUUGGAGGUGGAAGUCUGUUUCCUAUUACUGAACCACUGAGCCAGCUAGUCUCUUGACCUUACUUGGAUUUGCACCAGUGGCAUAGAAAUAAAUUGUUCUGAAUUCCAAUAAUGAUUCAUUAAGCCAAUACUUCAUGACUUCAGCUGGAUCUAUACCAAUGCCAUACAAUCAAAUAGCUGUGUCCCACUGCUGAUACAACUAGUAAAAUCUAAAUAAAAAUAAUAAGAGUUAAGAAAAUAAAUUUAUGGAGCCACCAUGAAAACAACAUCAACCCCAAACCAAACACAACAAAACCUGAAACCAUAGAUGGUUUAUGGAAACCAUAGAUUGGUCUGACAAUAAAAUUGUAGAAAUAUUAACAGCUAUUCUAACUAUUGACUGUCCUGUUCUGAUAACUAUCAGUGAGUUGGUAAAACAUCCUUCCUCACAUUGUGAUCAAAAGAACAAAAUGGCAUCUUCCUUUAAUCACACUGGUCUGUUUUUUCUUCAUCAAGAUUCUAAACAUAAAGUUUGUCUUGUACAUCCAAAUUGUUUCACCCAAAUGAGUCACUGAAAUAUACUACAGCUAGUAUUUAUGGUUGAUAAGAAAGCCUACUGUGUCAGCUAGUAGACAUGGAACAAACAUGGCUGAAAUAGAUAGCUUGAUUAAAGGGCAAUCCUUUAUUAAUGGACAGAUAUUGAUAAUUAACAACUGACAGACACAGCAAUGUAAAACAUUUCCUGAGAGGUUAGCAAACUGAGCCAUAAUUUAUGCUGGCAUGACCAGGGCAAAAUACGACUCCCAGCUGCAUAUUGACUUUGAUGACAAAAAGUUGCUUUUCUCUAGACAGUCAACAUGAACUCUGGUAUGGACUGCCAGAAACAUUUCCCAGAAUGUCUGCCUGUAGCAAAAAGACUUUCUCACACAAACUUGUUUGCCAUUCUGAUGAAAACUUGAUGGCAGAAAACCACCCUUUUACAAUCUUCUCUUGAGCUACUAUGGAUCUGCCUUUAUAUUAAGUCUAAUUUACUUUCAUAUCCCAACAUUAAAAUCCCCUUGUAUUGAUUUCUGCCUCUUCUUGGCUUAGUCUUUUAAAAUGUUGUAAGCUUACACUAUUUC
Molecule: long non-coding RNA, 5709 nt
Organism: Tympanuchus pallidicinctus (lesser prairie-chicken)
Lineage: Eukaryota; Metazoa; Chordata; Aves; Galliformes; Phasianidae
Exons: 8
Source: RefSeq, a predicted model, not a curated record